This 416-nucleotide ribosomal RNA is filed under the name uncultured bacterium. Its description in RNAcentral is "bacterial SSU rRNA". It matches the Rfam family "Bacterial small subunit ribosomal RNA", at positions 358 to 774 of the family's 1533-position model. The record is from RNAcentral.
GGAAUAUUCCACAAUGGGGGGAACCCUGAUGGAGCGACGCCGCGUGAGUGAAGAAGGGCUUCGGCUCGUAAAGCUCUUUUGCCUUUGACGAAUGGUUUAUUAGAUAGGCAGAGACGGUAAAGGGCGAAUAAGCCACGGCUAACUACGUGCCAGCAGCCGCGGUAAUACGUAGGUGGCAAGCGUUAUCCGGAUUUAUUGGGCGUAAAGCGAGCGCAGGCGGUUUGAUAAGUCUGAUGUGAAAGCCUUUGGCUUAACCAAAGAAGUGCAUCGGAAACUGUCAGACUUGAGUGCAGAAGAGGACAGUGGAACUCCAUGUGUAGCGGUGGAAUGCGUAGAUAUAUGGAAGAACACCAGUGGCGAAGGCGGCUGUCUGGUCUGCAACUGACGCUGAGGCUCGAAAGCAUGGGUAGCGAACA